GAUUGACGAGAUUGUGCUUGUUGGUGGAAGUACCAGGAUUCCCAAGGUCCAACAGCUUCUUAAGGACUACUUUGAUGGCAAGGAGCCAAACAAGGGUGUGAACCCUGAUGAGGCUGUUGCUUAUGGUGCCGCUGUACAAGGAAGCAUCUUGAGUGGAGAGGGUGGUGAAGAAACCAAAGGUAAUACUCAUUUCUCUUCUUAUACAGAUAAUUUUGAUAUAUUUGAUAAAGCGGUAAUUAGAUGAACUGCUGUAGCAACUUCUGACAAGUUUACUGUGGUAUUCAGAUAUUCUUCUCCUUGACGUCGCACCUCUCACCCUCGGUAUUGAAACUGUUGGAGGAGUGAUGACCAAGCUUAUCCCAAGAAACACCGUGAUCCCAACCAAGAAAUCCCAGGUUUUCACCACCUACCAGGAUCAGCAGAC
RNAcentral lists this long non-coding RNA (424 nucleotides) under Malus domestica (apple). Its description in RNAcentral is "long non-coding RNA (MDOM_LNC006183)". The record is from RNAcentral. Lineage: Eukaryota; Viridiplantae; Streptophyta; Magnoliopsida; Rosales; Rosaceae.